Molecule: transfer RNA, 76 nt
Filed under: Pectobacterium polaris
Lineage: Bacteria; Pseudomonadati; Pseudomonadota; Gammaproteobacteria; Enterobacterales; Pectobacteriaceae
Description: tRNA-Met
Rfam family: tRNA
About the family: Transfer RNA (tRNA) molecules are approximately 80 nucleotides in length. Their secondary structure includes four short double-helical elements and three loops (D, anti-codon, and T loops). Further hydrogen bonds mediate the characteristic L-shaped molecular structure. tRNAs have two regions of fundamental functional importance: the anti-codon, which is responsible for specific mRNA codon recognition, and the 3' end, to which the tRNAs corresponding amino acid is attached (by aminoacyl-tRNA synthetases). tRNAs cope with the degeneracy of the genetic code in two manners: having more than one tRNA (with a specific anti-codon) for a particular amino acid; and 'wobble' base-pairing, i.e. permitting non-standard base-pairing at the 3rd anti-codon position.
Source: RNAcentral
GCGGGGUGGAGCAGCCUGGUAGCUCGUCGGGCUCAUAACCCGAAGGUCGUCGGUUCGAAUCCGGCCCCCGCAACCA